UACAGAGGGGGCAAGCGUUGUUCGGAAUUACUGGGCGUAAAGGGCGCGUAGGCGGCCUGCUCAGUCGGACGUGAAAUCCCCGGGCUCAACUCGGGAACUGCGUCCGAUACUGGCAGGCUUGAAUCCGGGAGAGGGAUGUGGAAUUCCAGGUGUAGCGGUGAAAUGCGUAGAUAUCUGGAGGAACACCGGUGGCGAAGGCGGCAUCCUGGACCGGUAUUGACGCUGAGGCGCGAAAGCCAGGGGAGCAAAC
This 250-nucleotide ribosomal RNA is filed under the name uncultured bacterium. RNAcentral's name for it is "partial 16S ribosomal RNA". It matches the Rfam family "Bacterial small subunit ribosomal RNA", at positions 524 to 773 of the family's 1533-position model. The record is from RNAcentral.